Molecule: non-coding RNA, 764 nt
Organism: Paramuricea clavata
Lineage: Eukaryota; Metazoa; Cnidaria; Anthozoa; Malacalcyonacea; Plexauridae
Source: the annotation of a GenBank genome assembly
GACACACCCUGUAUAAAAUCAACAUUCACUCUGGAAAUUAUUUAUAGCAUAAUUACUACAUAUCAGAUUUGAUUGACAGGCAUAUCGAUUUCGACCAAUGGGAAUUUUGCGUUGUGUGGGCAACGCGGUUUCAUUUCUCGAUGUGUUGUCUGCAGUCCCUCCUUUCCUUUCUCGUGCCCGGAAAUCUAAACCCACGGAAAGGAGGGACCGCUCACAGUCAAAACUUCUCCAGGUCCCCCGCUAAAUAUGUCCCCUCCAGUUACAAAUCCUUAAAAGAGGCCCUGAACCAAAUGUUAUACCUCAUAGCAAUAUGUAUUAUUAAAAGCAAUGCAUGAAGCUAGAAAACUCAACGUUAACUAUUAUUAAAGAAUCUAAAUUGUAUAAGCUAUUGAAAAAAAAUGCUGCGAAAGAGAGAGUGGCAAAAAAAUAUCGUACAUGGUGAUGGGAUAAGAUCCCGAGGUAAAUACAGAUGCCAAAAAUGGGGGGGUGAAUAGGGGUAUACAAAUCCACCGAUCCGCCCAAAUUUGAAGCAAAAUCCGCGAUCCGACAAUGGUCUUGUCUAAAUUUGAAUCUGCUAAAAGCUCUACUAUAAAGUCACAAUCCAGGAUCCGAACUAAAUUGCAAGCUAAAUCCACAAUUCAAGCCAAAAUAUUAGAUAAAUCUGCUGUAUUAAUAAGAUCCGCAAAUCCGUGUAAAAUAUUUGCCAGAUCCAAAAUCUGAACAAUUUUUUCUGUGAAAUCCGACGAUCCAAAAACCUAUUCACC